CACUGAUAUACUAUGUUAUCAUUGUGUCAGAAAGGAAAGGCUCUGACUCCUCGACAUGCCCUAUACCAACUAGUCUAAAUUUUCAUAUGCAUGUGGCUCAUGUGCUACACUUUAGUGUAAUGCAGUAAAAUCAAGAAGAAAAAAAGUGAAAUAUGUUGUGUCUUUUCCGUGAGAAAUUCUAAAAUGCAUAAGAGAUAAAGAUUUUGCUAAGUUACUGCUGCUGUAACUUUCAAUUCCUUUAAUAAUCAGGGUCCAGCUACCAUGCCCCUCGGGGCAUGGUACUCGUUUUUUUUGUCAAUAUCCCGUGUAGCCGUUAGAUUAUAAAUAAUUUAAUCCAACGGAUGGGUUUGAAAGGGCUAAAAGUGAAUAACAGUGGGCUACCGUCGAAACCAGUUUCUUCCAGUUUGUUUGUUCGAAAUUAGUUUUAGGGUCUAUAAACCCUUAUUGGCCAUUUCGGGCGAUGACUGCAGUUUGUCGAACGCAAGGAAAUUGAAGUGCGCAAGGUGUAACUGCGGUUGGGGUAGCGCUUCCGUGUGCGAUUAUUGAAUUGGCUUGCAGUGCUUGCAACUUGUGGCGGCAGUAUUGAACGAGGCAGAAGGGAUUGGGUUAACACAAUUAAAGGUCAGUAUAAUUUGAAUUUCAGAUUAGAGAUAGGAAUCAUGUGUGGGUGAUAAAAGUGGAUGGUGGAAAUUUAACGUGUCGUUUGGACAAUUGGAAAUUUUGGGAGUAGAGGGCAAAAAAUGUAAAUUUAGAUUAAGGAUAUUUCCUGCACAUCGCGAUUGGUGGUUACGUUGAGAAAUUGAACCCAGUUGAAUUAAUGAAGUGUUGUGCAUAUAAAUGGUUCCAAAAUAUAUUUUGUACAACGAGUGAAAAAUUGAGGGGUUUCGGGCAAUAAAUAUAAAAAAUAAUUGGGGAUUAUUUAGCAGCAGUUUAAUGUGGCGUAUUUAAAGUAAUAGGAUGAAGAAGAAGGUUGGUGUUAUGUUGUGUAACUUGAUUGUGUUGCCGGCAAUUACUGUGCCUUUCUUGAACUUAGUCAUGACUAUGCAUUCGAAUAGAAUUUCAUAGAAGCACCAGACAUGUGACAUGUUAAUUAUCAAUUUCUACUGAAUUAUUAAGAUUUAGAUAAUAAAAGUUUUCAUUUGUAGCAUAGUAAAGGGAUUAAUUAAUUGAUUAGUAUUGUAUGGUUGUAAGUAUAAGCAAUGAGAACCCAAUGUAUGACAUUGAAUUCCACAGUAGCGUGGGUGUUAAUAAGUUAACAUUGAACAUGCGUGGACAAUUAGUAACAGGAAAAGUGAAAUUGAAGCAAAUAUUUAAAUGAUGUGAAUGAGAAGCAUGAAGCUGAUGACAUGGGGGUAAUGGUACAUGCACUAACUGAAUUUGUAUAUUGUUUUCGUGGAGUUGAUACGAAAUGUUUUUGUUAGUUUCGUUUGGGGCCGGUAAUGUAAAUGAUAUGUAUUUGUGUUAUGCAUUAGUAAGGUAUGUAUAUGUUGCUAUAAAACAUAUUUUGAUGGUUAGAAAUGGCAGUGUGACUGAAAUUCAGGAAUGAAGGUGGUGGGGACAAAUAAGCGUAAGGAAUGUGACAUUAACAGAGGGACUGAAGUGGUUGGUGUUGAUGCAAGCAAUGAUGGGGGAAGAAAAAGGCAGUGCCGCAAUGGGUUCAUAAGAUAUUUGUAAGCUAUGUUAAUGGAAAAAUAAAUAAAUGAACAUAGGACAGUAACAGUGGAGUGGUAAGUAUAGGUUUUGACUAAUUAUUUUGGUAUUGAUACGAUGAUAUUGCAGUGGUGAAGUUGUGCGUCAGAUUAAGGCAAAUGAUGGAAUGGCAUGCAUUACAAAAGAGGUUAGUAAAUUAGCAUUGUAGAAAUAAAGAAAUGGUAAUCGCCACCGGAUUAAUGUGUAGUGAGUUAAAUUGGGUUACCAUGAUUGUAUUGUAGAUUCGAAAAGAAAUAGGAUCCACGUAUAAGAAUUUGCCACCAGAGGAAAAGUGUCGGUAUAAAAGUGAGGCGAAACGAGUAGGGAAGUCAAAAAUUGGGAAGGCAAAGUUCCCCACCAGAUGUGCUCCAGAUAGAUUAGCUGCAGCAGUUUUACAACUUACAGAUGAACAAAGAGUAGUUGUUCGUGAAAUGGGCUUUGGUAGUUUGUUACAACUGAACUGUGGCAGGCUAAAGAGGAAUCUUUGUGGAUGGUUAGUUGAGAAGAUCGAUAUUGCGAGGUGCAUUUUACAGUUGAAUGGUGUUGAGGUGGAGCUAAGCCCGAAGAGUUUUAGUUAUGUAAUGGGCAUAUCAGAUGGGGGUAAGCCACUUCAGUUAGAAGGGGAGAGUUCUGAAGUAUGUGCAUAUGUAGACAAUUUUACCCCAACAUCAAGGGGUAUAAACAUAACGGUGUUGGCAGGAAUUUUGCAAAAGUUGAAGUCAGCGGAUGAUCAAUUCAAAGUGACAUUUAUGAUGUUUGCACUAUGUACUAUUUUAUGUCCCCCAGGAGGUGUGCAUAUAAGUUCUGGCUUUUUAUUUUCUUUAAAGGAUGUUGAAAGUAUUCCAAAAAGGAAUUGGGCGACGUUUUGCUUCCAUAGACUUAUUCAAGGGAUUACAAGACACAAGGAAGAACAGGUAGCGUACGUAGGAGGUUGUCUGCUAUAUCUACAGGUACUUUUUAAUUAUGGUAACAGUUGCAGCCAGUUCGCAACAUAUGAUAAUAUUAAUCAUGAAGUGUCGAAAGAUAUGUAAGUUAGGGUAGCAUAUUGAACAACUGUCAUGGUAGGCUGAAAAAAUCGAAAAAAAAUAGAUUAGAUGAAAUAGUUAGUGAAUACAUAUGAUCGAGGGCAGAAUUUAAUCCUCAUAUACAUAAAUGGACAUACAUGUGAGGAUUAAUGGUAAUUGAUCUGUAUAGAUCUGGACAGUUAUAGUAGUUUGGAAAUUAACUCGUUUGCAUUCAAACCGUAUGUAUUGUACCAUAAUCCCUGUAAGUGUUCGUUUGCAUGCAGAUGUUGUACUUCAACUCUAUUGUAUACGGAAAGCUGGAGAGGGAUAGGUCAAUGUGUCCGCUUGCUUUGUGGAAUGUAAACGAGAUAAAGAAGUUAAUGAAGUGGAUAGACAGCAAAGGAGGUUUUGAUAGCCAUCAGGUCAUAUAACUCGAAGCGAUAAGACAAUUGUUGGCUGUUUUUGCCAUUAACAUUUUGAAUAAUAAGUAUGAGUUGACGACCACUUGAUUGAGAAAACAAACAUCAUAUGCAUUAUAUAUCAUAUGAAAGUUGAUGAGGAUUAAAGGUUUAUAAAAUUAUCAGUGGUUGUCUUUUAGUUUUGCGAACCCCAUUUAUUAUGAGGUAAAAAAAUUUUUCGCAGGUGUCUAUCUCUUCCACGUCGAAAGAAGGCUGUCAAUUACAUUCACUCAGAAAAUUUCAGAAAGAAAAAUUUGGCAGUUUAAAUACGGAUGCAGCAAAUGAGACAUUUGUUAAGGUAGAUAAUGUGUCCAAUCUGGUUGAUGACGUAGCGGAGCUGGUGACCUUAUCUAGUAGGCUCGCAGGACAUGUAGAUAGGCUAAAGGCAGUUGGGUCGCGCACAAUGAAGGGAGGUGCUGAAAAAAUGAGGGAUUGUUCAGGGUAGAAUGUUAACCAGUUAUCAUAAUUGUCAUUAUUGUUUGUUAGCAUGCACAAUCACUUCUUCUACUUCUGUUAUGCUAUUUGUAAUCCUAAUAUAACUCUUUAUAUUUUAUAAGCACCUUCAUGCAAAAUUUAUCCCCACGGUUAAUGUUAUUCAACUAAUUGACUUACUCAAACUAUUUAUAUAUUACGUCAACUAUCCAGGUCUACAAAUUACAUUGAUCCAAAUAUAUUACACAUGAGGAAACCAAACGUGGUCACUGGAAAACUGCCAAUUCAGCAGUUAUUAGUUGAAGGCGAUGGUGGAAAUAAUACCCUGGAUGACAAUUAUCGUCGAUAUCCAGCAACACAAGUCAUGGCUGCAUCACCAGAAUAUUGCUCAUGCAAUGCACAUGAUGAUGCCAGAUUUGAGCAUGGCAAAUUAUCAAAAGAUCGAACCACUACCCUUAUAAAAAGGAGAAGGACAAUGAGACAACUUUUUACUGCUACACAAUCUCAAGGCCAUACUGGGACUACCAGUUUCACACCUAAUACAGGUCAAAGGUUUCAACCACAUGUUAAAUGUUGUGCUGCUUCCGACAAAGUAUACGAUGAUGGCCGAAAUGUUGUUCCUGACAUAGCUUAUGAUGAUUACGAGCUUGAAGGAUAUGCUUCAGAUACUGACAAGAUGACACUUUACAGUUCUCCACAAACUGAUGAAGGUGAUUUUACAGGGGAUGGAUUUUUAUUCGAAAAUGUGUCUAACAAGAUGAUCAUUCAAUUGGGUCAUCAUUUUAAGGACGUGUUCCAAUUUAGAAGAGCUGUUGAAGUUUUUGCAAUACGAGAAGGAUUUAAACUAUGCAUUAUGGAGAAUAGGAGUGAUUAUGUUAGUUGCGAGUGUUCUGCAUUAUACUGUGAUUGGAAAAUCACUGCAUCAGCUGAUUCAAGUGGUCGUACAUUUGCAGUAACCGAAUUCGUUAAUGCUCACAAGUGCAGCAGGUCUGCUACAGAGUUUUAUGACAAUCCAAAGUGGAUUGCCGCAAUGUUCUUUCAUACUUGGAAACAACAACCAAACCUUCAGCCGUAUGUCAUACAGAAACAAAUUGCAUCCAGAUACAAUGUGUCAUGCCCUCUUCCCAAACUACACGAAGCUUCAAAACGUGCAAAGGCAUUACUUGAUAUUGAUCACACGGAUGGAUAUUUAGAUAUAUAUCAGUACAUUGAGGAAAUGAAAAAGCUCCAUAACCGGAAUACAGUUAUUUUGGAGACUGAAAAUAAUGAAGCUGUUGGUGAUGCCACUUUCAACAGACUGUUUGUCUGCUUUGCUGAACCUGCUUAUGCAUUCAAGUAUGAAUGUUGCAAGAUGCUUUUUGUUGAUGGUUGGAAACUUAAAGGACCGUAUGAAAGUGUAAUGUUGGUGGCUGCAACUAUUGAUGGAAAUGAUGGCAUUCUCCCUAUAUCGUUCUGUGAGGUGCUUCAUGAGGACAUAGAUUCAUGGGUAUUUUUCUUGACCAAUCUUACAAAAGCUUUGAAAAUGGAACAUGGCGAAGGUCUCUGCAUUCUAACGGAUGGCGAAAAUGGUCUUGAUUAUGUCUGCGAAGAGUACCUCUUUCGCGGGGAGAUAAGACAUUGUUGCCGAAAUAUUUUCACCAAAAUGGUCAAAACUUUUCCGGAUGCACCUGUUCAACACUUAUUCUGGGCUGCUUGCCGUAGUGCUUCCAGUUACAAGUUCAACAACUACAUGAAAUUGAUAACGGAUGAAAGUGAAGAGUGUCAUGCUUGGUUAAUGGGUACAAAUUGGAACCAAUGGGCAUUGCAUUGCAUGCCUAACUGGGUUAAAAGUAACCACGUCACACUUAUGGUCACUGAACGUCUUCGCCGAUUCAUGAAAAGAUACUUGCACCUGAGCAUUACUCACAAGUUUACUGGAUUGACAAAUGCAACUGCUUAUCUUUUUGAGCAUCGAAGACUUCAAGGGUGGGAGUGGAUUUACCAGCGAAUUACCCCAACUGUCACAAACAUAAUUCAACAUCAUCUUAUUGAAGCCCGCUACCUGGCCGUGCAAAAUAAUAACGGCACUAUUUCAGGUGUUACGGAUGCUGCUUCUACUUUGUACGAGGUGGACAUGCAAAGAAAGCUUUGCAGUUGUGGCUUCUGGCAGAAGUCAGGUGUUCCAUGCGCACACGCAUGCAAGUGUAUUCUACAAAAGGCUGAAAAGAUCGAUGACUUUGUUGACAAAAUGCGGACAAUCUCUCAAUAUAGGGAUACUUAUGGACCGGGAAUGAAUUCACUGCCAAAUGAUUUUCCAUGGAAGUCCCAUGUUUCCACUGUUUUGCUCCUUCCUCCUCGUGCACAUGCCACAAUUGUACAGGACCCGCCUUACCCUAUUCCUCAUACAAAAUAGGUAAAAUUUCCAAGUUUCUUCUAAUAUAUAUUGUCCACACUAUGCAUUUAUUUCAAAUAUUUUUCUCAAAACAACCCUUUUGGUUUACUAUUUCACAUUGUUUAACCGUUUCAGAUCAGUCCUUAUUCGGCCACAACAGAACUUACUGGACAUGACUUCUUCCACCUACCAUCAAGCAGCAAUGAUGAAGAUUCAAUAAGUAAGUCUUUCUUUUUCUUUUUCAUAGUCUGAUACUAUGAAGUCCAAUUGUUAGGGAUAUCAAUCGACUUUACAAGUUCUUGAGCCAACUAUUGCCACAAUUUCAUUUUAAACAGAUAUGACUCAUAUCAUUGCAACCCAACUUUCAAGUGCGCACAAUAUUAUUUACCCUACAUUCAUUACUUGGAUAUUAUAAUAUUCAUCAUAUCCCACCUUAACAUUGGCAUUUGCACGCGCAUUGCUAACUAUAUACUAAAUAUAAUCACUGCAACCGACGAUAUUUCCUUUACUUCUCUGCAUCUUGUACUUAUUUUUAUGCAAUUUUCAGUACAUACCCCUACAUUUAUUUCACACAAUUUUCUCCAUCACAAGCCUUGCACACAAGCUUCAGCAAUUCUUAUUUCAUGUAAAUUCUACUUCUACUGUUUGUCUCCGCUAUUUGUAUUAAUACGUCCUAUGCAUGCAUAAGGCAAUAAUUUUAGGGUUUCACGGUAACCAAUUGUAUUUGUUGGUGUGACAGGGUAUUCGAUUGGUUGUUAAUCCUUACUUAUCUUCGGGUUCGGUUACUUGUGCGAAUCGUAUUUUUAAUUCGUUGUAACACCAUGACGUACAUAAUUUGUCUUCUCAUAUACAAUGAUUUAAUAUUUCACCUUCACGACAAAUCUCUUAGGGAUAUGAUAAAUCGUUCCACCACAUUACCUGCUCAUUAAUUGGUAACAUGCACUUCCUCCAUGAUUGCGGGUCUAUUAAUAUUUCAUUCACCCUAUGCAUUUCAACAUUCAAUUCCACGUGAAUUAUUUACAUAUGCAUGUACGAGCUCUUCCUUUGAUAUAAGUAAGUUAGUUGCAUUGUCAUUCAUACUUGACUUCUCAUUUAAAGGUUUCCUUUUCUCAUGUUGCAGCCCUGUAGCGGUGACUCUAGAGGGACAUGGCCUUUUGAUACCUAUGGUGUGCUGUGUCCUCCACAAUUGUCGCCAUCAAACGAACUCCACCAGCCACGAAACUUAUCCAUAUUUUGUCUGCUCCUAUAUUUAGUUAUUGCAAACUUUCAUCCACUAUAACUGUAUUUUGCUAUCAAUUAAUAGAUGUUAUUAACAUCCUACAACAUUGUGCAAGUUUCACGAUAAUGUGUUUCCAACUUAUGUACUUUACCUCUUAUGUCGACAUUGCAGCUUAUAUUUUGUUCUCCUCCUGCUAGCACCUGCAAUACAAUUAUUUUCUCCAUAUUUCAAAUUUGUUCCUUCUAUUUUCAAUAUCCCUGAUCCAUUUCUCCCUUUCCUUUGUGUUUGUGGCAUUAUUUUCUUUAUUUCAAUUAUGCUCACUUCUAGUUUUAAUCUUGCUCAACUUUGCUGUUAACUUACUGGCUUCAACUUGACCAUAUUGCUUCCAUUCUACCAUAGGUUAUUCUUUAAUCAAAUAAUCUAUUUUACUGAUGUUGGUCGUUUCCUCCUCUGCGUCUUAACUGACUACUCCAUUUUCUUCAUAGUUAUGUUUAUUUUUAAUUAAUUCAUUACUACUAUAAUUAACAUCAGUUAAUCUCAUUAUUUCUUCCUUGCUGUAGUCUUACUUUCACAUGGCUUCGGUCACAAUUGACAUUAUUAAAAAAGGGGUAAUUUUUUAAUCGUCUUUUUAUAUAUGCUUGCUACUACAAAUACUUCUUCCCUCAAACGAUUUUUUGUUAUAUACACCAACUUUUCUUCUUUCCUUUAACGCAUUUAUUGCAACAUUAAUAGUUCAUUUCAUCAUUUAUAUUGACUGCCUCUCCCGAUUUCUUUAAUCUGCUGCGUGCCAACUCCUUACACGUCCGAUUUUUCUCUUUUUCAUCCAACGGCUAGGUCACUACCUGACAAAGCAAGGGGGUUCCGUGCCCAAGGGGGUUCCGUGAUAAUCAUAUGGGUCCUACCACCUAUGACAACUAUUUACAUUAUUUUGAAAGGUUGUAAGUUACAGUAGUUGUAACUUAGUAGCACCCAAGACAUAAUAUAAUCAAUUAAUACAUAUAUGACAUGUGUAUUUAAAUUUUAUAUAACCACUAAUUACUUGUCGGUUCUUCAAAAUAAAUACACUUAAUUAUUUACUUAUUGCAUAGAUGAUAUGGUACUUUAGAGGUAUUCUAAAAUAUCUCUUAUGCCCUUCUGUUCAUUUUCAACUACUAGUCAAUGAAGUGGCAUUUUACAUGCUGAUAUGGUGCCUCGCAAAAACUCUUCUGUUUCGAGAUUGAUGAUCCCAUGGAAAUGGUACAAGUAUCUCUUCUAAUGGUAUUUUACAGGUUGUUGAUGAAAAGUUGCAUGUGUUUUAGAAGACUAAUGGUAUUUGCAUUUUACUUGCAAAUUCUAGUAAAAUCGGCUAUACAUGGAUUCUCUUUGGAUGAAUUUGGAUGAAAGCUCGUUUAAUUCCUCUAUUUUUAGGUUAGUAUCUUUUUAGUCACUAUAUAUUUAGAAAUACCUCAAAACAUCUCUAUUGUUAAAUUAUUGACACUCCUGCCGUUACUUUUUGUUCUUUUUAGCUUGCUUUUACAUAUUACUCUCUCGCAAUAAUGUUUAUUUUUUGGACAUUAAUAAAAAUAAAUAAAUUAUCAAUUUAAUCCCAAAAUAUUAAUGUAGAACAUUCUGCUGAGAAGUUAAUAUAUUUAUGUUUUUAUUAAUGUCCAAAAAAGUUUGUAAUUUAAUUUAUUUUACAAUAUUACUUUUUUUUACAUAUGUGAGCUUUUAGAAAAAUUAGUGUAUAUAUGUGUGUGUGUGUGUGUCAUUUUUAGGUUUAAAUUGAUAAUUUAUUUAUUUUUUAUUAAUGUCCAAAGAAAUUAUUGUAAAAGGGUAAUAUUAUAGAAGUUAAAAAGAAUAAAAAAUAAAAAGGCAGAUGUGUCAAUAGUUUAACUGGUAGUGUCGUUGAGGUGCACUAAAUUUAAAACCUUACCACUAAUAUAAAUAAUUAGUACAGAGCGAGUAAGGAUCGAUCCCACAGAGACUAUGCUAGUUGUAUUUAUUAUCAACUCUAAAGCAAGAUUUAAAAUAAAAUAAUAGUAGUAAUAAUAAUAGUAAUAAUAAUAUAAAUUAAUCUAACUAAAGAAAAUGCCAAUUAUAAAUAAAAGGGGGGAUUUAUGAAUUUUUAACUAAAUAGUAAGAAAUAAAAAAACUAAAAUUACGAACAAAAAUUUAAUAAAAACUCUAAUUAAAGGAGAAAGAAAUAAUAAUGAUAAAAACUUUAGUUAAAGGAUAAUUCGCCACCACCCAAGACAAGAAUAAACCAUGAACAUUAAUUAUAGAAGAACAUAAACAAUCUAAAUUAAAUAAAUUGAAUGAUAGAAAUUAAAAAUUAAUCAUGUGACAUAUUCGGGGUUUUGAAUUCACCCUCAACCAAAUAAAAAUCUAGCCUAACACAAUUGAAUUGGGAAUAAGAUAAUUGACAAAACCAAUCAUGGAGAUUAAUUCAAGCGACUGCCUUUGCUUUAAUUUAAUUCCGACUGCUGAUUUUUUUCUUCUCCUUGCGGCUGCUGAUUUUCCUCUGCCCGAAUUGCGUCUGCCCUCUUCUCUCUCGCUCUCUGGCAGCUCUCCUUUUAUAAUGCUAGUCGACCAAAUUCUUCUCCAACAAUUCUAAAGAAAUCAUUUUUCAAUUCUAAUUGAAAUCCUUUUCCAAUUUAACGCCACCAAAAGCCAUUAAUUCCAUCUUUUGAAAGUCAAUUGCGGGCCCAUUUAAAUUGCUUUCCACUUUUGCAAUGCCAUGCACGUGCACUCCAAUUGCCAAUUGGAAAAAUUAAAUCUUUUAAUUAUUCAACAUUUCUCAAUUGGAUUAAUUGCUUUGAUUUCUUCCACUCGGUUCUAUCAAUUCUUGACUAUAUUUUUGUCUUCCAAUUUAAUCUUUAUUCCUUUUCAAUUUGAAUUUCUUCAUGCUUUGAUUUCUUCCACUCGGUUCUAUCAAUUCUUGACUAUAUUUUUGUCUUCCAAUUUAAUCUUUAUUCCUUUUCAAUUUGAAUUUCUUCAUGCCUUUUUUAUCCACAAUCUCCAAUUAAUUCCCUAUUCAAUAAAAUCAACUAAAAGAACUAGAAUAUUUAAGAUCAAAACAAGAAAAAGAUGGAGAAAUUAAUAACAAAAUAUAUGGAAAAUAUGCACUUAUCAUUAAUUGCAUGGAGUUUUGAUGUAUUCUUAAAAAUAUAAGUUACUAACCUCAAAAUAUAGGGAUUAAAAGAGUUUUUACGUAUUCUUUUCAAUACACUCUGACUUGUAUUCUGUAUGUUUCUGUUCACUGUAGGACCAUUAUAAAGAAAUAUCAACAUCGUUGAUUAUUCUAAACACAUGGAUUGGCAGGUUAGAAUUCCCUCAUGAAAAAUAUGACUACUUUUUGCGUUCUGGUUUGGGUUCAUGGUUCCUUUUCUUCAUUCUUAAUUUUUAUGACUUCCACAAUAAAUUUCGCUAGUUGAAAUAAUAUUAAAUUGUACAACAUACACACACACACACAUAUGUAUAUUGCUUAUUACUUCGGAGUACUUAGGAUAUUUUCUUGUAUGGGUUGAUCUUAACAUAAUUCUAAAGUGUUUUUAGUUACUGCAAGAAAUUGAACGAAUUAAACUAAAAAAAUAAAAGAAAUAAAUAUUAUGUAGUUUUCAUUUUGAGAUAUAUUAUAAUGAAAGGAUCAUCUACUUGUGUUAGCUUUGUUUAGUUUUAAAAAUCUCAUGUCACUUAAAGUCAUGUAUAUUAUUAGCCAUUUAUACUUUCUCUUGUUUUUAUAUUCAUAAUAAUCCUCCAAAUGCACAUUAUUGUAUUUGUCAACAUGCUUCAAGAAAAUAAGGUCAAGGCAACAUGAUUAUAACAACGUGUUAGAGUGUUCUAUUUGCAACAUGAUUAUAACAACGUGCUAGAGUGUUCUAUUUAUUUAAUGUCAAGAAAAGUAGCUGCUAAAUUCUAGAAGCAGCCCAUUUUGGACAAAGAAAAAUCAAAGAGGGCUGCAGCAUCUUUGAAGAAGUAAAAUUGGCGGCACACGGUUUUGACGUUGAAGAAGCCAAAAUGUAAGAAAAAUGGUGGUGUUGUAGCAAAUUUUGACAAGAAAAAUAAAUAAAAUAAUAGCCAAUUUUGGCUAUAAAAAGAGAGCUCCCCAUUUGGUUUUGGCAUCUAAUUUCUUUAUCUCAUUUUCUUCUUCCUUAUAGAGAGCUAAGAAUUGAGAGUAUAGAGUUUUAAUAACUCAUGUGUUUUAAUAACUCUUGUGUUAGUAGUGAUUUGAGAGUUUGAGUUUAUUGGUGUUUGGGUAGUGAGUUAAAAUAUUACAAUACUUGUAAUUGCUUUUCACUAGUAAAAUAUUUUCCUUCUAUUUUCGCCCGUGGACGUGGGCUAAAACUGAACCACAUAAUUUUUUGUGUCCUCUGUGUGUGUUUGUUCUUCAUUUUCCUCCAAUUUCAUUUUAGUUGUGCCCCUGCUUCAACCAUAGAUUUUCUAACACUAAUAUCAAAGCUACUGGUUGUAUUUUUAGAGUCGCAGUAUUAUUUCACAUAUAUAGUAUUCUCGUGAAAUGGUGGGAGCCAAUCCUAACUAAAGUAGUUCAUUGUAAAAAGUGAUGACGGUAAAAUACGAAAUUAAGAAGUUCAGCGAAAAUAAUUUCUCGUUGUAGAAAAUGAAGAUGAAGGUUGUAUUGAGGAAAACUAAUUACUUGGCAGCAAUUAGAGAAAGACCCACGAAUAUAACUGAUGACAAGUGGAAUGAGAUGGACGGCAAUGUAAUUGCUUAUCUACACCUGGCACUUGCAGAUGGGAUGUUAUCUAGUAUGGCAGAGAAAAAGAUAGCUAAGGAAAGAUGGGAUACUCUUACAAAAUUGUACGAGGUCAAGUCACUGCACAACAUGAUCUUCUUAAAGUAGAGAUUUUAUCCUCUUCGAGUAGCGGAAUCUACAUCGGUGACCAACCAUAUCAACACAUUGAAGACUCUAUUUUCACAUAUCAACUCAUCAUUAAUCUGACAAACAACAACCAAGCAGACAGUCUAGCUUUCGAUGAUGUUGCAACCUCCAUAUUAAAUGAGAGCAGGCGGAAAAAUAAGGAAGAUAGGCAAGCAAGUUCGCAACAAGCAGAAGUACUAUCGGUGACAAGAGAGAGACCAACGGAACGUGGUCCCAAUGGGAGUUACAAUCAUGGUAGAUCAAAAUCAAGAAGUAAGAAUAAUGUCAAAUGCUACAAUUGUGGUAAGAAAGGGCAUGUCAAAAAAGAUUAUUGGAACAACCAGAAGAGAUGAGAGGGUAUAGUUCUUGUAUCAUCAAAUGCUCAGGGAUGUGUAGUAAGUACCUUAAAUGAUGGCGAAAUUCUCUACAGCAAGGCAACAACUAUUUCAAAAGACAGAAAACAACUAUAUAAUGUCUGGCUUAUAGAAUUGGGAGCUACCUAACAUAUGAACUCUUGGAGAGAGUUGUUCCACUGUUAAAAUAAAAAUGUUUGAUGGUACAGUUCGCGCAAUUAAGGAUGUACGACACGUCAAUGGCCUAAAUCAAAAUCUAUUAUCCUUAGUACAAAUAGAUAGUCAUGGGUACAAAACUCAUGUGGAAAAUAUGAUCAUGAAGAUAGUUAAGGGCGCACUUGUAUUAAUGAAGGCAGAAAUGAUUGGUGUUAAUUUAUUCAUGCUUAAAGGAAAAACACUACAGAAAGUUGAUGCGUGUGUCGCAUCAAAUGGAGAAGAGUGACGAUGAUGUGACAUUUCAAGCCUAGCCAAAUGUCAGAAUAAGGUUUGAAGAUUUUCUCUGAGCAAAAAUUGCUUCCAGGUCUCAAAUUGGUAAACUUACCAUUUUGGGAGCAUUGUGUUAGAAAUAAGCAGCAUAAAUUGAAGUUAAGCAGAUCUGUUGCUAGAAGUAAAUGUAUUCUAGACUUGGUUCAUUAUGAUAUUUAGGAAUCACCAGAUAUGUCCAUGGGAGGUGCAAAGUACUUGUUGACUUUUAUUGAUGAUUAUUUCAAGAGAUGUUGGGUGUAUGUAAUCAAGAAAACAUCAGAUGUGUUUCUGGUAUUCAAAUGGUACAAAGCGCUGGUAGAACUUGAAUUCAAAAAGAGGAUAAAGUGCUUGAUGACAAAUAACGGUGGAGCGUAUACAAAUGACAAGUUUAUUGCAUAAAAUAAGCAAAAAGAUUUUCAGAAGCAGUUCACAGUGGCAUACACUUCCCAACAUAAUAGUGGCAGAGCGGAUGAACAAACUUUUAUAGAAAUAAUAAGAGAUAUGUUGAGGACUGUUGGUCUACCCAACUUAUUUUGGGCAGAAGCAGCCAAAACUGUUUGUUAUAUAGUAAAUUGGUCGACAUCCACAGCAAUUAGGUUAAAGACAUUGAUGGAGAUGUGGACAAGAAAGCUAGUUGAUUACUCUCACCUACAUAUAUUUGAAUGUCCUGUGUACGUGAUGUACAAUGCCCAAGAAAAAAUAAAGUUGGAUCUAAAAUUUAUAUGGUGUAUCUUCUUGGGGUAUGCUAAUGGAGUAAAUUGUAUUAUCUGUAGGACCCCACUGCCCACAAGAUAGUCAUCAGCAGAGAUGUUAUCUUUAUAGAUGAUCAACUACAAAGAGAGAUAAGGAUGAUAGCACUGUAAAAGAAAAGUCAAAGACUGUGCUGGUAUAUGUUGAAAAUAAUCUGGAAAAAAAGAUUCAGAUUCUUCUGAAGCAACACCAAAGCACGAUAAACAAUAACCAGUUGAGUCCGAGGCUCGAGAAGUUCGUUAGUUAACUCGUGAGAGACGAUCGCCAAUGUGGCACUUAAAUUAUGUCACAAAGAUCAAUGUUGCAUGCCGUCUUCUGAUAGAGGAUAGAGAACCAUAAACUUUCUAUGAAACUUUAAGUAACUCAGAUUUUGCUUUGUGGAUGACAGUAAUGGAGGAAGAAAUUGAGGCUCUACACAAGAAUAAAACAUGGCAACUUGUACUACUACCAUUUGGAACAAAAACCAUUGGAAAUAAAUGGGUCUACAAGGUCAAGCGUGAUGACAAUGAAUAAAUGGAGCGGUAUUGUAAAAGAUUGGUCGUAAAAGAAAAUGCUCAUAAAGAAGGAAUUGACUUCAACGAGAUAUUUUCUCCGGUGGUUCAACUCACAACAGUCAGAUUAAUCUUGGUGAUGUGUGCUACAUUUGACCUAUAUCUAAAGCAGUUAGAUGUGAAAACUGCAUUUCUUCAUGGAGAACUUGAAAAAGAAAUUUAUAUGCUCCAACCCGAAGGUUUUGCUGAAAAGGGCGAAGAGAACUUGGUUUUCAGGUUGAAAAUUUUUCUAUACGGUCUCAAACAAGUGCCAAGGUGUUGGUAUAAGAGAUUUAAUUCCUUUAUCAUGAGCUUGGAUACAACAGACUUAGUUCAAACCAUUGUGCAUAUUACAAGAGGUUUGAAGAUAAUGAUUUCAUCAUUUUGCUAUUGUACGUAGAUGACAUGUUGGUAACAGGCCCCAACAAAGAUCAAGUCUAAGAAUUAAAAGCACAGUUGGCUAGGGAGUUUGAAAUGAAGGACCAGCAAAUAAGAUUCUAGGGAUGCAAAUUUACCGAGACAGAAAUAAUAAGAAGAUUUGGCUUUCUCAGAAGAAUUACUUGAGAAAAUCUUGCGGCACUUCAACAUACAAGAUUGUAAGCCAAUUUAUACCCCACUUCCUAUUACUUUCAAGUUAUCCUCAAAUAUAUGUCCAAGCAAUGAAGCAGAGAGUAAGGAAAUGUCUCGAGUACCAUAUGCAUCAGCAAUGGAAAGUUUAAUGUUCGCUAUGAUAUGUACAAGAAUGGACAUUGCACAAGCAAUAAAAGUAGUUAGUCGACACAUGGAGAAUGCUAGUGGAGAACAUUGGAAAAUUAUGAAGAGGAUUUUGAGAUAUAUCAGAGGAACCUCAGAUGUUGCAUUAUGUUACGGAGGAUCAGAGUUUAUUGUCAGGGGCUAAAUGAAUUCAGAUUUUACAAAAGACCUUGAUAAAAGGAAAUCCACUACUGGCUAUGUGUUUACACUUGCAGAAGGAGCUAUAAGUUGGGUUUCAAAACUACAGACCGUUGCGGUUUUAUCUACAACAGAAGUAGAAUACAUGGCAGCUACACAAGCUUGCAAGGAAACUAUUUGGAUACAAAGAUUAUUGGAGGAGCUCGGACACAAAUAAGAAAUUUUUUUUGUAUUUUGUGACAGUUAGAGUGCCUUGCAAAUUGCAAGAAAUCCAGCCUUUCAUUUCAGGACAAAGCACAAGGGGUACAAUACCACUUUGUUCGAUAAGUAGUGGAAGAUGAAAGUGUGGAUUUGCAGAAAAUUCAUACUAAAGAGAACCUAGCAGAUGUUUUACCAAGCCAAUCAAUGUUGACAAGUUUGUAUGGAGUAGAUUCGCUUGUGACCUAGCAGAGACAUAAGCAAUAUGACAAUUGAAGUGGGAGAAUGUCAAGAAAAUUAGCUGCCAAAUUUUAGAAGCAGCUCAUUUUGAACAAAGAAAAAUCAAAGAGGGCUGCAACAUCUUUGAAGAAGUACAAUUGGUGGCACACGACUUUGACAUUGAAGAAGCUGAAAUGUAAGAAAAAUGGUAGUGCUGCAGAAAAUUUUGAGAAGAAAAAUAAAUAAAUCUUGUGUUAUUAGUGAUUUGAGAGUUUGGGGGUAUUGAGGUUUUGGGUAGUGAGUUAAAAUACCACAAUACUUGUAAUUUAUUUUCACUAGUAAAAUAUUUUUCUUCUGUCUUCGUCCAUCGAUGUAGGCUAAAAACCGAACCAUGUAAUUUUUUGUGUCCUCUAUGUGUGGUUGCUCUUUAUUUUAUUCCAAUUCAUUUUAGCUGUAGUCCUGCUUCAGCCAUCGAUUUUCUAACAUUUCAUUCAUUCAAUCUGUAAAAAUCAUUUCCAUAAAAAUCUAAUCCAUGGAUUGAUGGAUUUGAUUAGAUUAAAAUUUUUUUAAAAUCCACAGUCAAUGAAUUAGAAAUAGAUUUGCUUCUACAAAUUUAUAAAAAUCAGCAAAUUAUAUAUAUAUAUAAAAUUUAAAAAUGUUAUACUAUUAAUAAAUAAAUAGGUUAAAAUUUAGUUAGGGUGGACAUUGACAACAAUUAAUUAUGUAAGCUUUCAAUUUUCAACUUUGGUAUUGAUUUAAUUUUAAAAUUUAAGUUAGUUUUCAUUCAUUGAUCUAAAACAUCAAGAUUUUUUCUUUUGGUGGGCUAAAGUUCGAAACUUUGAAUGGCAUCCUUAAAAAACAAAUGGUUUUUCAGAAGUGGUCGUGACGUGUCAUCACGUCCCAUCUAUCCUACACGGAAGUUGAAACCAAUUACUCCAGCGUUUUCAUAAUUUUUUUAAAGAAAGAAUAGGGAGUAAAGAUGAAAUGGUAUAUGGCUUCAAAAUUAUGCUUCUUUAGGAACGUACGUUGAUUGAUUUAACAGAUGCUGGGUGAUAUAUCGCGUUCCUAAACAAGUACUUAAACUAUUGAUUUAUUUAAUCUUUUUAAAUUUGAAUUUGAUUGGUAAUAAAAUUAUUUUUGUAUUAAAAUAUUUAUUUAAUUAUUUUAUAAAUAGAUAGAAAGAAAUUUUUUUUAAUUGAUAUCGAAUUCACAAAAGUGCAAUGGGAUAUAAAUUAUGUCAAAUCCACAUCAAAUUCUUAGAGUUAUGAAUUAAAUUUGGAUUAAUUUCAUUAAUUCAUGAAUUGGGUGAGAUUGAAAAUUUAUAACGAUUUUACACCUAUUGUCAUUUAUUAGAAUUUUUUCACAACGCGCUUUUGUAGGACGUUGUGAAAUUGAAAGCCCAUUGAAGAGUUUAUAACAACAUUCUUUCGUUUGUUGUCAAAUAUUAAAAUUAUUUUACAACACACUUUCACCAACCGUUGUUAAAUGGAAGUUUUCUGAAAUUUGUACAAAUUAUCACAAUCUACCGAUACAUUAAAAUCCAUUAUCUAUUUAGACAGUAGAUACAUACAUUUGUACUAUAUAGCCCGGAAAUCUGCUCCCACUAACUUUUGAGUUGACAUCUACCUGCCCAGUCUACUUUUUGUUGAUAAUCAUUUUGUAAUUUAUUAAUUUGUUUUCCGCAAAAGUACUUUAUAACUGUAACAAAUAGAAUUUCGAUGUUAGUCCUCAACAUUAAGAUAUUGUUUGCAACUUUGUAUGCCUUUUUUUCCUUAAACUUAGUUUGUAUAUUCUUAUUUCUCCAUAAAACAAGAUUUUAAUGUAAUAAAUAGAACUUUUAUUAGUAGAAUUGAAUUUAUGAAUUUCUUGUUAUUUCUGCGUGCAUUUAUUGUGUAGUUUAUAGAAAGACUCUUUAAAAAAUUUGUAUGCAGGAAAAAAAAAGAUAAAUAAAAAAAGAUUAUACAACAUUCAUCCGAAUGUAUGGAUGAUGUAUGUGUCUUCUGGUUCAAUAUUGACCUCGUUCGCACAGUAUGAUGUACGCCCCCCCACCCAAAAAAAAAAGAAUAAAAUAUCUUUGUACUAUUAAGACUUAAAAAUUAAACGCUUUCAAAACUCAGAAAAAAUGAGUAAGAAAAAUCAAUCACAUGAGCUUCUUCUCUGCCUAUAAUAACCUCGUGUAUCACCACAAACCACAGAAUAAUUUGAGAAUCUUUGCCAAGUAUAACUGUAAGCUAGCUUACACUACAUCUGUAUAUCCAAUGUCUUCUUGCAUUAAUCCCUCAACCUUGGUUACCUCUAUAAAUGGUUUCAAAUGUCUUCCUCUUGCAACAAAUAAAGCAGCCAUCAGAAUCAUGGCCAAAAAUAAGCCAGUCCAAUGCCUUGUCAGCGCCAAAUAUGAUAAUUUGACAGUUGAUAGGAGAUCAGCAAACUACCAACCUUCAAUUUGGGACCAUGAUUUUUUGCAGUCAUUGAAUAGCAACUAUACGGUAUUCAGUAUUAUUAUUAUUAUUAUUAUUAAUUUCCUUUGUUCAUUUCAAAUUGGCACCAUGAAUAACUAAAAACUAAAUGCUGUGCAUGUACAGGAUCAAACAUACAGAAGACGAGCAGAAGAGCUGAAGGGAAAAGUGAAGACAGCGAUUAAGGAUGUAACCGAGCCUCUGGAUCAGUUGGAGCUGAUUGAUAAUUUGCAAAGACUUGGAUUGGCUUAUCAUUUUGAGCCUGAGAUUCGGAACAUAUUGCGUAAUAUCCACAACCAUAAUAAAGAUUAUAAUUGGAGAAAAGAAAAUCUGUAUGCAACCUCCCUUGAAUUCAGACUACUUAGACAACAUGGCUAUCCUGUUUCUCAAGGUACCUUUCAUUAGUUCGCUUACUUUGUCAUGCACAUGCAAGAUCCGAAUACUUGAAUCGAUCUCUCUGUUUAUCUUAUUCAUUCCUUUUAAAUGUAAAAAAGUGGACAAAACCCAAAUCAAUUUUUUAACUCUCUAUCUCCUGAGAAAUUCGAACUCGACAAGGCCGCUGGGGACACUUAAAUCAUUCUCUAAUUAACAUAUAUGUGCAAAAGUUUUGAUGAAUAUAAUUUUUUUUUUUCGGUUGAGCACUGCAGAGGUUUUCAGUGGUUUUAAAGACGACAAGGGAGGCUUCAUUUGUGAUGAUUUCAAGGGAAUACUGAGCUUGCAUGAAGCCUCGUAUUACAGCUUAGAAGGAGAAAGCAUCAUGGAGGAGGCCUGGCAAUUCACCAGUAAGCAUCUUAAAGAAANNNNNNNNNNNNNNNNNNNNNNNNNNNNNNNNNNNNNNNNNNNNNNNNNNNNNNNNNNNNNNNNNNNNNNNNNNNNNNNNNNNNNNNNNNNNNNNNNNNNNNNNNNNNNNNNNNNNNNNNNNNNNNNNNNNNNNNNNNNNNNNNNNNNNNNNNNNNNNNNNNNNNNNNNNNNNNNNNNNNNNNNNNNNNNNNNNNNNNNNNNNNNNNNNNNNNNNNNNNNNNNNNNNNNNNNNNNNNNNNNNNNNNNNNNNNNNNNNNNNNNNNNNNNNNNNNNNNNNNNNNNNNNNNNNNNNNNNNNNNNNNNNNNNNNNNNNNNNNNNNNNNNNNNNNNNNNNNNNNNNNNNNNNNNNNNNNNNNNNNNNNNNNNNNNNNNNNNNNNNNNNNNNNNNNNNNNNNNNNNNNNNNNNNNNNNNNNNNNNNNNNNNNNNNNNNNNNNNNNNNNNNNNNNNNNNNNNNNNNNNNNNNNNNNNNNNNNNNNNNNNNNNNNNNNNNNNNNNNNNNNNNNNNNNNNNNNNNNNNNNNNNNNNNNNNNNNNNNNNNNNNNNNNNNNNNNNNNNNNNNNNNNNNNNNNNNNNNNNNNNNNNNNNNNNNNNNNNNNNNNNNNNNNNNNNNNNNNNNNNNNNNNNNNNNNNNNNNNNNNAAGAUUAUAAUUGGAGAAAAGAAAAUCUGUAUGCAACCUCCCUUGAAUUCAGACUACUUAGACAACAUGGCUAUCCUGUUUCUCAAGG
This 19421-nucleotide long non-coding RNA is filed under the name Citrus sinensis (sweet orange). Its description in RNAcentral is "long non-coding RNA (CSIN_LNC001089)". The record is from RNAcentral. Lineage: Eukaryota; Viridiplantae; Streptophyta; Magnoliopsida; Sapindales; Rutaceae.